GGACGAUUAGCUCAGUUGGGAGAGCGUCUGGGUCACAACCAGAAUGUCGGCGGUUCGAGCCCGUCAUCGUCCA
Treponema brennaborense DSM 12168 is the source of this 73-nucleotide transfer RNA. It matches the Rfam family "tRNA". Rfam says of the family: Transfer RNA (tRNA) molecules are approximately 80 nucleotides in length. Their secondary structure includes four short double-helical elements and three loops (D, anti-codon, and T loops). The record is from Rfam. NCBI's taxonomy places the organism in Bacteria, Pseudomonadati, Spirochaetota, Spirochaetia, Treponematales, Treponemataceae.